GACGGAGGGUGCUAGCGUUGUUCGGAAUUACUGGGCGUAAAGGGCGCGUAGGCGGCAUCGGCAGUCGGGUGUGAAAGCCCGGGGCUCAACCCCGGAACGGCACCCGAGACUCGGGGGCUCGAGACCGGGAGAGGAGGGUGGAAUACCCAGUGUAGAGGUGAAAUUCGUAGAUAUUGGGUGGAACACCGGUGGCGAAAGCGGCUCUCUGGCCCGGAUCUGACGCUGAGGCGCGAAAGCGUGGGGAGCAAACAGG
RNAcentral lists this ribosomal RNA (253 nucleotides) under uncultured bacterium. RNAcentral's name for it is "partial 16S ribosomal RNA". It matches the Rfam family "Bacterial small subunit ribosomal RNA", at positions 524 to 776 of the family's 1533-position model. The record is from RNAcentral.